GUGAACGGCGUGGCAGGAGGCGCGGGAAUACGUAGGGGGGAAGGGUUGUCCGGAUGUAUUGGGCGUAAAGAGCGUGUAGGCGGCCUGGAAGGUCAGCUGUGAAAACUCGAGGCUUAACCUCGGGACGUCGGUUGAAACCACCUGGCUAGAGUCCGGAAGAGGAGUGUGGAAUUCCCGGUGUAGCGGUGAAAUGCGCAGAUAUCGGGAAGAACACCCGUGGCGAAGGCGGCACUCUGGGACGGUACUGACGCUGAGACGCGAAAGCGUGGGGAGCGAACAGGAUUAGAUACCCCAGUAGUC
Molecule: ribosomal RNA, 300 nt
Filed under: uncultured Lactobacillus sp.
Lineage: Bacteria; Bacillati; Bacillota; Bacilli; Lactobacillales; Lactobacillaceae
Description: bacterial SSU rRNA
Rfam family: Bacterial small subunit ribosomal RNA
Source: RNAcentral